GCGGGUCGGGUCAACCGGGUCGAAUAAUUUUGCACACCCUUAGCGACAAUCCUCUGGCUUAUCUAGUUGGUGACCACACUUAAUAUAGCUAUCAUAAGGUGGUUAUUCCAUUACAUCAGCUGAGGGCAGUGAAUCCAUCGGCUAGCAAAGCCAACCCUGCCGAGAAAUACAUACAGGUUAUAUCAGUUGACAACCAUGAAUUCUGGUUCAUGGGGUUUGUACACUACGACAAUGCUGUUAAGAAUCUUCAAGGUGCAUUGCAGCCCCGUAGCUCUUGACUCGACUUAUC
Molecule: long non-coding RNA, 289 nt
Organism: Hibiscus syriacus
Lineage: Eukaryota; Viridiplantae; Streptophyta; Magnoliopsida; Malvales; Malvaceae
Exons: 2
Source: RefSeq, a predicted model, not a curated record